AUGGCGGAAGCGGAAGGGCAGCUCGCGGCCUGCUGGGGGAAGCAGGACGACGAGUGGAGGAAAGGCCCGUGGACAACCCAGGAGGACAAGCUGCUCCUCGACCAUGUCGCCCAGCACGGCGAAGGGAGGUGGAACUCCGUCUCCAAGCUCACAGGUCUCAAGAGAAGUGGCAAGAGUUGCAGGCUGCGGUGGGUUAACUACCUCAGACCUGAUCUAAAGAGAGGCAAGAUGACACCCCAAGAGGAGAGCACCAUAGUCCAGCUCCACUCCUUGUGGGGGAACAGGUGGUCGACGAUUGCACGCAGCCUCCCGGGGAGGACGGACAACGAGAUCAAGAACUACUGGAGGACGCACUACAAGAAGGGCAAGCCGUCCAAGAACAUCGAGCGCGCCAGGGCUCGGUUCCUGAUGCAGCGGCGUGAGAUGCAGCAGCAGCAGCAGCAGCAGCAACAGAAGCUGCUACUUGGGCAGGGCAAGGACGCCGAGCUCGCCAGCGCCACUGCCGAGGACGACGUCGACGAGAAGAUGACCGGCAACGUAGGCCCGGCAGCGACGGCGCUGGCUGACCACGGCCACGAGGAGCUGAUCAUGCAGGACGUCUUGGACUUCCUGUGCCCCAUGUCCUGCGCCCUCCUCCACAGCGCCGGGCAGAGCGGCAGCUGCGGCGCCUCCACGAGCGAGGAGUAUGGGUCGACCGAGGAUGACGGCGCCACGUGGGGAAGCCUGUGGAACCUCGAAGACGUGGCCCAUGACGGCGACGGUGGGGCAUGCGCGCUGUGGUAG
Molecule: ribosomal RNA, 783 nt
Filed under: Triticum aestivum (bread wheat)
Lineage: Eukaryota; Viridiplantae; Streptophyta; Magnoliopsida; Poales; Poaceae
Description: partial small subunit ribosomal RNA
Source: RNAcentral